CUGAUUUUCGGUUUGGUCCACGCGAAAGUGCCUCCCGAUUGAGUCCCGGCCCUGUCUUUAGGCCCCAAGAAGAACGGCGAGAGAACAGAUCCGCAGAAACAACGUUGCGCUGCCGCUCCUGCCGUGCGCUCCCCACCCCCGAUCCGCCCCGAGCCGACCCUGCCUCCGAUCGCCGCCGCCGAGCUCCUCUGCCGGACACCAUGGCUCCGUCGGACCUUCCCUCGCGAGUGACGGCCCUCUUCCCGACCAGAUCGGCGACGGCGACGACCGGUGAUGAACACAUGCCUGCCCCAUUCUUAAUUCUCCCGGGCAGUCUGGGAUGCAGAUGCCGCCGCCAUUCUUCCGCACAGCUGAGUACGCGGAAGUCGCUGUUGCCUGCAACUCAGCCGCCUCCAUCGUGUUCCCCUGCGAAGUUGAGGAGGGUUCGUUGUCCGGGCAUCGCAUCCUCCUGCUUGUCCUCUACCACAGGGUCGUCGCCAUCUUCCGUCACCACGACCACCUCUGCCGUGUCCUCUACGGCUCUACCACGGGUCAGCAAGAGCAUACCACCGCAUGUCCUCUUCACAUGAUAAGGAGAGCAUGAGAAAGGUGUUGUGGAUACAUAUAUGAAUGCCCGCCAGAAGAAGAGAAAGGUGUUUGGCUGCAAAUCAGUUUUAUGUCAAACUGCACAUAAAUAUGAUCAAGUACUUGUUGUCUUUUUGCUGGUAGGGAGAGCAGGAGAAAGGUGUUGUGGAUACAUAUAUGAAUGCCUGCCAGAAGAAGAGAAAGGUGUUUGGCUGCAAGUUAUUGUGUUCGUAGGCUGUCCAUAUCACCGGGACUAAGGGAAAAUGUUCAACUGCCGCGUUCCUGUCUAAUAUCAUGAGGGAGCAAGCAUAAACUGUCGGCUGCUAUUCCAGUCCACACCUUUUAACAAUCCGAGAGCGCAUCACCGGUUUCAGCUGCAUCUUUGAGGGAUCUUUUUGAUCUGGCCAAGGAAGAUAUUGAUGAAUCAAUCGAAUCAGAAAAUAGAUCCCUGUCACACUUUGAGAUAUUUUUUUGUAUGUCCCCGAAUGGGAUCCUAUACAAUACAAAUAAACGAAAAGCAUAACAAGAGAAAUAGCAAAGGUACUAUCGAUUUUCCUUCAAUAGUUUGCAUCUCACAGCAUUGAACAUUACAGGUUAGAAAAAGAGUGAUCCUCCGUUAUCUCAUAUUAAUUCAUUCAAUUGUAACGACAAAAUAAACGGUAAAUUAGGGAUUCACUGAUGGUUUGCUCAUGUACUCCAUGUGACUAUAUAUCUACCUUGUAUUGUAUCUCUUUAGAAGCAGCGGAAACUGGGAAGAAAAUUGUAUGACACAAGAAGAGAUACUUUUAGAAGCAGCAGAAACAGGUUCCCCUUGUAUAUCUCUUUCUACCUUUACCCAAACAUAUAUUAAAAAAAACAAGUUUUGAACGAAUAUUUAUUAAUUAUCUUUGUAUAUUUAUAUUUCUAGCGAUUAUGAGCACAACAAAUCUUUUCUUUCGAGAGCACUCAAAGCACGUGCCUUACUUUUAUAGAAGAGAGCAAAACAAUUUACAAGAGGUCUAGCGAGUGCGGAACACUCCAAGACUAACACCCACCACCACUCCUACAAGGAACCCAAAACUAAUCUCUCACAAAGCGUUGUAAGCUACCUCCUCCCCGGGCCGCCAUCUUCCAAUCUCUAAGUUCAUCAAGUAUCUUCUUCGCGAGUUCCUGUGCAACCACCUGUUGCUCAGCUCUGUUAAACACCCUGGCAUUCCUUUGCUUCCAGAGACAUCAUGCCGUGCAAAUGACCAGGGUGUCGAACCCACGUUUGUCUUCCUUCGCAAAGCACAACAAAUCUUGAAGCAUGUGCUGUCAAGAGAGGAGGAAGUGAAGAAAAAGAUUAUUGUUUAGAAAACCAUUUAUGACGAUCCUACGGCUUGGUUUUACUCGAGAGAUGGUAACUGCUCUAUACCUAAUUUGUGGAGUAAUCAACUACAUUUUUUUGUACUCCCCAUUUCAUUAUAUGAAUCUGUGUCCUACAUAUGCAUAUUAUGAAUUAUCGGACUUCUAAAUUAACAGAAUUUCAUCUUGAAUUCAUCAAUGGGGCAUCAUUUUGGACUACACUUAACUAAGACCAAAUAUAAAUGCCCUAGAGGCCUUAACACUAGAUUGAAUUCUGUAAUUUUUUUAUGUCACAUUUGAAUGUGUUGGCAAGUAAGCGGCUCUACAUCGAUCUUGCCAAUUCCAUUUCUAAUAGGCAUGAGCCCCUUGUGUUCUGGACAACUAAGGUUACAUGCAUAAUUACCUAAUCAUGUACCAAUUCUGAGUCAGACGCGUGCAUUUGGAUUGGAUAUUGAACCAAGCCCGCCAUUUUAUUACUCUGAAAGAACUAUACAAUGAUAUUUGGCUAUUGCUUUCAGUAUUAGAGAAGCAUGGAAACUGAACUGCGGGGCUUUCUAUAUUUUUAUGUGACAUUCCUCUAUGCCAUCGUGCCAUACUAUUUAUUUUGAGCAACCUCUCUAUGCUAUUUUCUUGGACAAUUUUCACUGUAAUCUCUAGCACCUCAAUAUACGGUAAACAACUGCAAGCUUGGGUAUUUUUUUUCUCAUCUUGUAUUCAUAUUAUUUGCUAUGUUACUUUAGCAAUCAAAUAGAAUCAGACACAAGCUCCAGUUAGUCCUGUGUAAAAACUAAUGUGCUGGUGUGGACCAUGAAUUCCUUAUUUUGUCU
Molecule: long non-coding RNA, 2714 nt
Organism: Triticum aestivum (bread wheat)
Lineage: Eukaryota; Viridiplantae; Streptophyta; Magnoliopsida; Poales; Poaceae
Exons: 5
Source: RefSeq, a predicted model, not a curated record